GCGACCCCAGGUCAGGCGGGACUACCCGCUGAAUUUAAGCAUAUCAAUA
This 49-nucleotide ribosomal RNA is filed under the name Festuca pratensis. RNAcentral's name for it is "partial 25S ribosomal RNA". Lineage: Eukaryota; Viridiplantae; Streptophyta; Magnoliopsida; Poales; Poaceae. The record is from RNAcentral. RNAcentral also lists the same sequence under 8 other names.